Molecule: ribosomal RNA, 253 nt
Filed under: uncultured bacterium
Lineage: Bacteria
Description: partial 16S ribosomal RNA
Rfam family: Bacterial small subunit ribosomal RNA
Source: RNAcentral
UACAGAGGUUGCAAGCGUUAAUCGGAUUUACUGGGCGUAAAGCGUGUGUAGGUGGUUAUACAAGUCGGUUGUGAAAUCCCCGGGCUCAACCUGGGAACUGCUUCCGAGACUGCAUGACUAGAGAUCGGUAGAGGGUGGUGGAAUUCCCGGUGUAGUGGUGAAAUGCGUAGAGAUCGGGAGGAACACCCGCGGCGAAGGCGGCCACCUGGACCAGACCUGACGCUGAGGCGCGAAGGCCGGGGGAGCGAACGGG